CCUACGGGUGGCAGCAGUGAGGAAUAUUGGUCAAUGGACGCAAGUCUGAACCAGCCAUGCCGCGUGCAGGAAGACGGCCCUAUGAGUUGUAAACUGCUUUUGUACGAGGGUAAACGCAGAUACGCGUAUCUGUCUGAAAGUACCGUAUGAAUAAGGAUCGGCUAACUCCGUGCCAGCAGCCGCGGUAAUACGGAGGAUUCAAGCGUUAUCCGGAUUUAUUGGGUUUAAAGGGUGCGUAGGCGGUCGGAUAAGUUAGUGGUGAAAGUCCGAGGCUCAACUGCGAAAUUGCCUUUGAUACUGGUCGGCUAGAGAGUAGUUGCGGUAGGCGGAAUGUAUGGUGUAGCGGUGAAAUGCUUAGAGAUCAUACAGAACACCGAUUGCGAAGGCAGCUUACCAAGCUGCUACUGACGUUGAGGCACGAAAGCGUGGGGAGCAAACAGGAUUAGAUACCCGGGUAGUC
Molecule: ribosomal RNA, 460 nt
Filed under: uncultured bacterium
Lineage: Bacteria
Description: partial 16S ribosomal RNA
Rfam family: Bacterial small subunit ribosomal RNA
Source: RNAcentral